CAGAUUGAUCUCAGUGAGUUCAAGGCCAGCUUGGUCUACAAAGCAAGUUCCAGGAAAGUCAGGGCUGUUAGAGAGAAACCCUGUCUUGAAAAACAAAACAAAAUGAAACAAGCAACAACAAACGAUAAAGCCUCAUGUAGUGGUACAUACUUUUAACCACACACUUUGGAGACAAAGGCAGGUAAAUCUCUUCAAGUUCAAGGCCCACCUGGUCUACACGCUAAGUUCCAAGUUAACAAUUACACAGGGAAACCCUAUCCACCAGUACCAAAAAAGAAAAAAGAAAAACAAAAACUCACAACAAAACAAAAACCCUAAUACUAAAACAUGUGCGCUUAAAAUAAAGCAGAGGGGCUUAAGGCAUGGCCCAGCACCUGAGAAUGCUUAUUGCCUUGAGAGGACCGAGAACCCAGGUUUCGGUUCCCCGCCAUCUAUCUAUACCAGGUAGCUCAGAAGCACUCUUAUCUGGUUUUAGGAGAGCUAGUUUGUUGCGGCCUCUGCAGACACUUCCAAGCAUGUAGCACACAUACACUCAUGUAGGCACAUAUACAUAUGCAUAAAUAAAAAAUUU
RNAcentral lists this long non-coding RNA (571 nucleotides) under Rattus norvegicus (Norway rat). RNAcentral's name for it is "long non-coding RNA NONRATT005031". The record is from RNAcentral. Lineage: Eukaryota; Metazoa; Chordata; Mammalia; Rodentia; Muridae.